RNAcentral lists this unclassified non-coding RNA (204 nucleotides) under uncultured fungus. RNAcentral's name for it is "partial contains 18S rRNA, ITS1, 5.8S rRNA, ITS2 and 28S rRNA". Lineage: Eukaryota; Fungi. The record is from RNAcentral.
AAGGAUCAUUAUUGAAAUAAACCUGAUGGGUUGUUGCUGGUUCUCUAGGGAGCAUGUGCACGCCUUGUCAUCUUUAUAUCUCCACCUGUGCACCUUUUGUAGACCUUCUAGGUCUAUGUUUCUUCAUUUACCCCAAUGUAUGUUAAUAGAAUGUUGUGACUAUAAAAAUAUAUACAACUUUCAGCAACGGAUCUCUUGGCUCUC